UUUUCCAAGAAAAGGAAAGAGGGGUUGUGGCACAGAACGGAGUGCUACUUGAUUAGCAUUGUUUUUGCAGUGCACGUCUGGGUUAAAUGAGAAUGACAUGUUUUCCUCCUUUAUUCAAGACAUUUGUCUUUGAUAUUGUUUGCUGGCUUACUUCAUCUGUUCUGGCAUGGAUGCAGAGAGCUGGCCCAGCGAUUCCCGCAACGCUCCACAGAUGUUAUUGACCUCUGGGUUAACUCAUGUCAGUUUUUUAGCAUGGCUUUG
This is a long non-coding RNA of Cyprinus carpio (common carp), 261 nucleotides long. The record is from Ensembl. Lineage: Eukaryota; Metazoa; Chordata; Actinopteri; Cypriniformes; Cyprinidae.